GGGAGCUCUCCCAUAUGGUCGACCUGCAGGCGGCCGCGAAUUCACUAGUGAUUAGAGUUUGAUCAUGGCUCAGCACCCGCGGUAAUACGUUAUUACCCCGCCUGCUGGCCCGGAGUUACCCGGAGCUUAUUCUCCCGGCCCUGUCAUUAUCAUCCCGGGUAAAAGAGCUUUACGACCCUAAGGCCUUCAUCACUCACGCGGCAUUGCUGGAUCAGGCUUGCGCCCAUUGUCCAAUAUUCCCCACUGCUGCCUCCCGUAGGAGUCUGGGCCGUGUCUCAGUCCCAGUGUGGCUGAUCAUCCUCUCAGACCAGCUAAGGAUCGUCGGCUUGGUAAGCCUUUACCCCACCAACUACCUAAUCCUACGCGGGCUCAUCCAUCAGCGAUAAAUCUUUCCUCCAAAGAGAAUAUACGGUAUUAGCAAUUAUUUCUAAAUGUUAUCCCGUACUGAUGGGCAGAUUCCCACGUGUUACUCACCCGUCUGCCACUAAUUUAUUUAAAGCAAGCUCUAAAUAAAUCCGUUCGACUUGCAUGUGUUAAGCAUACCGAAAGCGUUCGUUCUGAGCCAGGAUCAAACUCUAAUCGAAUUCCCGCGGCCGCCAUGGCAGCCGGGAGCAUG
This 616-nucleotide ribosomal RNA is filed under the name uncultured Alphaproteobacteria bacterium. Its description in RNAcentral is "partial 16S ribosomal RNA". Lineage: Bacteria; Pseudomonadati; Pseudomonadota; Alphaproteobacteria. The record is from RNAcentral.